This 241-nucleotide ribosomal RNA is filed under the name uncultured Staphylococcus sp. RNAcentral describes it as "partial 16S ribosomal RNA". It matches the Rfam family "Bacterial small subunit ribosomal RNA", at positions 99 to 334 of the family's 1533-position model. Lineage: Bacteria; Bacillati; Bacillota; Bacilli; Caryophanales; Staphylococcaceae. The record is from RNAcentral.
CGGACGGGUGAGUAACACGUGGAUAACCUACCUAUAAGACUGGGAUAACUUCGGGAAACCGGAGCUAAUACCGGAUAACAUAUUGAACCGCAUGGUUCAAUAGUGAAAGACGGUUUUGCUGUCACUUAUAGAUGGAUCCGCGCCGCAUUAGCUAGUUGGUAAGGUAACGGCUUACCAAGGCAGCGAUGCGUAGCCGACCUGAGAGGGUGAUCGGCCACACUGGAACUGAGACACGGUCCAG